UUCCUGGUGGCUCAGAUGGUAAAGAAUCUGCCUGCAAUGUAGGAGACCCAGGUUCGAACCUGGGUUGGGAAA
This 72-nucleotide transfer RNA is filed under the name Bos taurus (domestic cattle). It matches the Rfam family "tRNA". Rfam says of the family: Transfer RNA (tRNA) molecules are approximately 80 nucleotides in length. The record is from Rfam by way of RNAcentral. Lineage: Eukaryota; Metazoa; Chordata; Mammalia; Artiodactyla; Bovidae. RNAcentral also lists the same sequence under 2 other names.